AGUGAACGCUGGCGGUAGGCCUAACACAUACAAGUCGAACGGCAGCACAGUAAGAGCUUGCUCUUACGGGUGGCGAGUGGCGGACGGGUGAGGAAUACAUCGGAAUCUACUUUUUCGUGGGGGAUAACGUAGGGAAACUUACGCUAAUACCGCAUACGACCUACGGGUGAAAGCAGGGGAUCUUCGGACCUUGCGCGAUUGAAUGAGCCGAUGUCGGAUUAGCUAGUUGGCGGGGUAAAGGCCCACCAAGGCGACGAGCCGUAGCUGGUCUGAGAGGAUGAUCAGCCACACUGGAACUGAGACACGGUCCAGACUCCUACGGGAGGCAGCAGUGGGGAAUAUUGGACAAUGGGCGCAAGCCUGAUCCAGCCAUACCGCGUGGGUGAAGAAGGCCUUCGGGUUGUAAAGCCCUUUUGUUGGGAAAGAAAAGCAGCAGGUUAAUACCCCGCUGUUCUGACGGUACCCAAAGAAUAAGCACCGGCUAACUUCGUG
This 492-nucleotide ribosomal RNA is filed under the name uncultured bacterium. RNAcentral describes it as "partial 16S ribosomal RNA". It matches the Rfam family "Bacterial small subunit ribosomal RNA", at positions 29 to 507 of the family's 1533-position model. The record is from RNAcentral.